AGAAUCAACGCUGGCGGCGUGCCUAACACAUGCAAGUCGCACGAGAAAGGGGAGCAAUCCCUGAGUACAGUGGCGCACGGGUGAGUAACACGUGAAUAAUCUACCUCCGAGUGGGGAAUAACUGAGAGAAAUCUUAGCUAAUACCGCAUAACACUUACGAGUCAAAGCAGCAAUGCGCUUGGAGAGGAGUUCGCGGCAGAUUAGUUAGUUGGCGGGGUAAUGGCCCACCAAGACGAUGAUCUGUAUCCGGCCUGAGAGGACGCACGGACACACUGGAACUGAAACACGGUCCAGACUCCUACGGGAGGCAGCAGUGGGGAAUUUUGCGCAAUGGGGGAAACCCUGACGCAGCAACGCCGCGUGGAGGAUGAAGCCCCUUGGGGUGUAAACUCCUUUCGAUCGGGAAGAUAAUGACGGUACCGAUAUAAGAAGCCCCGGCUAACUUCGUGCCAGCAGCCGC
RNAcentral lists this ribosomal RNA (460 nucleotides) under uncultured bacterium. RNAcentral describes it as "SSU rRNA". It matches the Rfam family "Bacterial small subunit ribosomal RNA", at positions 26 to 518 of the family's 1533-position model. The record is from RNAcentral.